AUCGCUUCUCGGCCUUUUGGCUAAGAUCAAGUGUAGUAUCUGUUCUUAUCAGUAAUACUGCUCAUGGCCCUCACAAUCUCUACCAUUAAUGUGAGAAGUGUGAGGUCCACCCUGAGAGCACAGAGUGUAUUAUCCCUUUUAGAAUCUUUUAAGUCAGAUGUGAUUUUAUUACAAGAGUGUGCUUUGCCCUUUUUAUCCAGUUACAGGAAAUGGGAAGACAU
Molecule: small nuclear RNA, 221 nt
Organism: Ictalurus punctatus (channel catfish)
Lineage: Eukaryota; Metazoa; Chordata; Actinopteri; Siluriformes; Ictaluridae
Gene: U2
Rfam family: U2 spliceosomal RNA
About the family: U2 is a small nuclear RNA (snRNA) component of the spliceosome (involved in pre-mRNA splicing). Complementary binding between U2 snRNA (in an area lying towards the 5' end but 3' to hairpin I) and the branchpoint sequence (BPS) of the intron results the bulging out of an unpaired adenosine, on the BPS, which initiates a nucleophilic attack at the intronic 5' splice site, thus starting the first of two transesterification reactions that mediate splicing.
Source: Ensembl